This 253-nucleotide ribosomal RNA is filed under the name uncultured bacterium. Its description in RNAcentral is "partial 16S ribosomal RNA". It matches the Rfam family "Bacterial small subunit ribosomal RNA", at positions 524 to 776 of the family's 1533-position model. The record is from RNAcentral.
UACGGAGGGGGCAAGCGUUAUUCGGAAUUAUUGGGCGUAAAGGGCGCGUAGGCGGCUAGAUGUGUCAAAGGUGAAAUCCCUCGGCUCAACUGAGGAACUGCCUUUGAAACUGUCUGGCUUGAGGCCGGGAGAGGGUAGCGGAAUUCCCAGUGUAGCGGUGAAAUGCGUAGAUAUUGGGAAGAACACCGAUGGCGAAGGCAGCCAUCUGGACCGACACUGACGCUGAGGCGCGAAAGCGUGGGGAGCAAACAGG